This 468-nucleotide ribosomal RNA is filed under the name uncultured bacterium. RNAcentral's name for it is "partial 16S ribosomal RNA". It matches the Rfam family "Bacterial small subunit ribosomal RNA", at positions 28 to 507 of the family's 1533-position model. The record is from RNAcentral.
GGCGAACGCUGGCGGCGUGCUUAACACAUGCAAGUCGAACGGAAAGACCCUGCUUUUGUGGGGUGCUCGAGUGGCGAACGGGUGAGUAACGCGUGAGUAACCUGCCCUUGACUUUGGGAUAACUUCAGGAAACUGGGGCUAAUACCGGAUAGGAGCUCCUGCUGCAUGGUGGGGGUUGGAAAGUUUCGGCGGUUGGGGAUGGACUCGCGGCUUAUCAGCUUGUUGGUGGGGUAGUGGCUUACCAAGGCUUUGACGGGUAGCCGGCCUGAGAGGGUGACCGGCCACAUUGGGACUGAGAUACGGCCCAGACUCCUACGGGAGGCAGCAGUGGGGAAUAUUGCACAAUGGGCGGAAGCCUGAUGCAGCAACGCCGCGUGCGGGAUGACGGCCUUCGGGUUGUAAACCGCUUUCGCCUGUGACGAAGCGUGAGUGACGGUAAUGGGUAAAGAAGCACCAGCUAACUACGUG